This is a non-coding RNA of Podarcis lilfordi (Lilford's wall lizard), 66 nucleotides long. The record is from the annotation of a GenBank genome assembly. Lineage: Eukaryota; Metazoa; Chordata; Lepidosauria; Squamata; Lacertidae.
GUGCUCUGUCCAUAGAGCUUGAGACUCUUCAUCUCAGGGUUGUGGGUUUGAGCCCCAUGUUGGACA